RNAcentral lists this ribosomal RNA (467 nucleotides) under uncultured bacterium. RNAcentral describes it as "partial 16S ribosomal RNA". It matches the Rfam family "Bacterial small subunit ribosomal RNA", at positions 28 to 507 of the family's 1533-position model. The record is from RNAcentral.
GACGAACGCUGGCGGCGUGCUUAACACAUGCAAGUCGAACGGAAAGGCCUCUAUCGGGGGGUACUCGAGUGGCGAACGGGUGAGUAACACGUGAGUAACCUGCCCUUGACUUUGGGAUAACUUCAGGAAACUGGGGCUAAUACCGGAUAGGAGCUCCUGCUGCAUGGUGGGGGUUGGAAAGUUUCGGCGGUUGGGGAUGGACUCGCGGCUUAUCAGCUUGUUGGUGGGGUAGUGGCUUACCAAGGCUUUGACGGGUAGCCGGCCUGAGAGGGUGACCGGCCACAUUGGGACUGAGAUACGGCCCAGACUCCUACGGGAGGCAGCAGUGGGGAAUAUUGCACAAUGGGUGGAAGCCUGAUGCAGCAACGCCGUGUGCGGGAUGACGGCCUUCGGGUUGUAAACCGCUUUCGCUCAUGACGAAGCUUUGUGUGACGGUAGUGGGUAAAGAAGCACCGGCUAACUACGUG